GACGAACGCUGGCGGCGUGCUUAACACAUGCAAGUCGAACGAAGAGCGAUGGAAGCUUGCUUCUAUCAAUCUUAGCGGCGAACGGGUGAGUAACGCGUAAUCAACCUGCCCUUCAGAGGGGGACAACAGUUGGAAACGACUGCUAAUACCGCAUACGAUCUAAUCUCGGCAUCGAGGAUAGAUGAAAGGUGGCCUCUACAUGUAAGCUAUCACUGAAGGAGGGGAUUGCGUCUGAUUAGCUAGUUGGAGGGGUAACGGCCCACCAAGGCGAUGAUCAGUAGCCGGUCUGAGAGGAUGAACGGCCACAUUGGGACUGAGACACGGCCCAGACUCCUACGGGAGGCAGCAGUGGGGAAUCUUCCGCAAUGGACGAAAGUCUGACGGAGCAACGCCGCGUGAGUGAUGACGGCCUUCGGGUUGUAAAGCUCUGUUAAUCGGGACGAAAGGCCUUCUUGCGAAUAGUGAGAAGGAUUGACGGUACCGGAAUAGAAAGCCACGGCUAACUACGUG
Molecule: ribosomal RNA, 510 nt
Filed under: uncultured bacterium
Lineage: Bacteria
Description: partial 16S ribosomal RNA
Rfam family: Bacterial small subunit ribosomal RNA
Source: RNAcentral